AAGUCAUGACCAUAGACAGAAAUUCCCAUGAGGUUCUUCAUAUGCUGUUGGGAACCUGUUGGGAACCUGU
RNAcentral lists this small nucleolar RNA (70 nucleotides) under Mus musculus (house mouse). RNAcentral describes it as "predicted gene, 55563 (ENSMUSG00002076126.1, ENSMUSG00002076935.1)". Lineage: Eukaryota; Metazoa; Chordata; Mammalia; Rodentia; Muridae. The record is from RNAcentral.